Molecule: ribosomal RNA, 458 nt
Filed under: uncultured bacterium
Lineage: Bacteria
Description: partial 16S ribosomal RNA
Rfam family: Bacterial small subunit ribosomal RNA
Source: RNAcentral
AACGAACGCUGGCGGCAGGCCUAACACAUGCAAGUCGAGCGAGGACUUCGGUCCUAGCGGCGGACGGGUGAGUAACGCGUGGGAACGUGCCCUUUGCUUCGGAAUAGCCCUGGGAAACUGGGAGUAAUACCGGAUGAGCCCUUUGGGGGAAAGAUUUAUCGGCGAAGGAUCGGCCCGCGUUGGAUUAGGUAGUUGGGAGGGUAAUGGCCUACCAAGCCGAGGAUCCAUAGCUGGUUUGAGAGGAUGAUCAGCCACACUGGGACUGAGACACGGCCCAGACUGUGACGGGAGGCAGAAGUGGGGAAUACUCCGCAAUGGGCGAAAGCCGGACGGAGCAAAGCCGCGUGAGUGAUGAAGGUCUUCGGAUGGUAAAACUAUGUGAUUAGGGAAGAAGAAAUGUGUAAGUAACUAUGCACGUCUUGACGGUACCUAAUCAGAAAGCCACGGCUAACUACGUG